CAUAUAUAUAUAUAUAUGGAGAAAAUUGACAAAGUAAAUUCCAACUUACUAAAAUAAAUCAGAACAAACUUCAAUUCACAAAUGCACCAUUUAAAUCUCAUAUUGUCUUCUAAACACAAAUAAAUAUCAAAUUCCCGUUGACCAAUCCAUUUUAGCUAAAUGAAUAGUCAAUGUUAUAACAUUGUCAACCUACGUUAACAUCGUAAGAGUAUUAUCCCAAAAUCUCUAACUUUCAAACUGAAGCUUAAAAAACUUCAACUCUUCAAUAAGCCAUUUUAACCUUUGAAUAUUAUUUAGCCACAAGUAAAUCACUCGAUUUUAUUGGUCAAAACAAUCCAGACACAUGUUUAAUUGAACACUAAAACCUUAAUAACAAAGGUUGAACAUUAAAACGUCUUAGCAAAAAUAAUCACCUCUUAUAUAACUGACCUAAUCCCUUCUUAAAAGAAAAAAUUCCUAUGUUCUUUUCUAAAUCAUCUAUUCAAAAUAAUUUCUUCAUAUACAUUUUCUAAAUGGAGGUGAAUAAAGCUAAACUUAAAACAUUGUGGCAUAAUACCAAUAAUGAGUUAUAUCAAGUGUUGAAAUGGAUGUUAAAACAUGUGGUUGUAUCAAAUGGUAGUUGAAUGUCUAAUAAAUUUUAGAUGGAUGACUUGGGGAAAAUGAAUUUAUAUAUGUUCACAAGAGGAUAUAUCAAUUAUAUUAGGGGUGUAAAAUAGAGAUAUUUAAACGUGUGUUAGCGAGAUUUUAACAGAUUAAAAAAACGAAUCACAAAAUCUUGCCAAUGAAAAUAAGUGAUUUUUUGUGUCUAAAUGAUAGUUGAAGAUUAAAAUGACUUACUAAGGAGUACUUUUUUAGUUUGAAAGUGGGAGAUUUUUUGGCAAAUCAAUACAACUAAAACAACAUACUUUUUGACAUCCCCUUUACUUUGUUGAAUAUAGUAUUUACCAAACAUUUAAUAUAAAUUUAGUUUUUUUUUGGUGAAAUGUUAAAUUUAUAUUAAGAGGAUAAAGGUUUAUGUACAAAAAGAAUCAAAGGAAUAAAUUUAGUAAUAAUAUAAAUUUAGUUUAUUAUUAUGGUUUUAGUAAUAAUAGUAUUUUUUUCACCUGAUAUCUAUAAGAUUUGAUUUUUGUUUACGAGAUAUUCUUUAUUAUAACAGUAUUUUUUGUAUAAUAAUUCUAAGUAAAUUGUAACAAAAUUAAAAUUUUGACUUAUUUCAGUUACCAAAAAAUUAUUUUAUAAUUUAUAAAAUAUUUGCAUAUUGUGUGAGGAGAAUAGCUGGUGCUUUUAUUUUUAAUAAUUUUGGGCUUUAAAAUUUGAAAAAAAAUAUAUAUAACUUCCUUAAUUUCAAUAUAUUUAGAUAAUAAUCCUACAAGAUUUUAAUCUUUAUUUUGUAAAAGGUAUGCAUAUUGUGCUUUCAUUUUGAAAGUAUUUUCUGCUUCAAAAAUCAGAAAAUAGAAAUACGUUGGAAUACAGAACUUCCUUAAAUUUAAAAUAUAAAAAUUCCAUAAUUUUGAAAAUGCUUAAUGAGAGAUUUUGCAUAUAUCAAAAUAUAUUAAAAAAAUAUAAUAUGUAAGAAGAUAUUCCUAUGAAUAACUUGCGAAACACUAAAAUUACUAGGUGAUUUUCCUGUGCUUAUGCACGAGUAUAAAUACUUAUAAAGUUAAUAUACUAUAAUAAUUGAUUUAUAUUUACUUUUAAUUUUAAAUAAAUUUAUAAUUUGUAUGCAUCAUUUAUAUUUAUAAUAUUAUAUUACUAUAAUAGUAAAUAUGAUUUUAUAUAUGUUAUAUAUAUCUAAUUGGUUUUGUUGUUUUUACAAUCAAUUUAGUUAUCAUUUGGAUAAUUUGGAUUGCAUCUCUGAAUUCAACUAUAAUAUUUAUUAUUCUAAAUAUAUUAAAAUUUUGAUUAAUUUUUGGAUAAUUUGGAUUUGCAUUUAAGUGGUUGUUGUCUUAGAUAUGUAAAUAUAUUUUAUGAAGAUUAUGUAUAAUUAAAAAAAUAUUGUGCUUAGAAUAAAAUAAAAAAAUAAACUAAAAUGUCUGAUUCCAAAUUACAUAAAUUGAUAUAACGAUAUUAUUCUGAAGUCUCAUGCACAUAUAUAAGUUUUAGAAAAGAACUAAGUUGUAACAGUUGGUGAAUAUUUUAUUUUCAUUUUCAUAUGUUUUGAGUUGUCUUAUGAUUUAUAUUUAUAAAAUAAACUACUAUUCUUAUAAAAUUAUAUAUUCUUAUCGUAGUUAAAUCUAUGAUUUUAGAUAUAUGUUGGAUUAGUCGAGUCACCCAUGAGGUGAGUAUAUUGAGUUUCAUAUAUUCUUUAAAUUCAAAAGGAAGUAUAAUUAUUUUUAUUAUAAUUAAGUCAAAUAAAAUCAAUUUUAUUUAUCGUUUAAAUGUGAAUGUAUUUUCAUAAUAUUUAUCAAACUAUAUUUUGAUGUCUUAAAAAGAAUAUUAUAAAAUAAAGCGAUGCUCAACAGAAAGUUACAUACAUAAGUAGGUGAUACAUUUUUGGAAGUUCAUGACAUAUAUUAAUAUUUACAGUAAUUAAAAUAUUUAAUAAAUUCUAAAUAAAUUUAUGCCUUUGAUUUAUUGAAUGGAAAUUGAAAUUUAUUUUGGAUAAUUUUAAAAAUGAAAUUCAGAUUUGCUUUGGUAUUUUGAUUAUGGUUAUAUUAAGUUCCACAAACAUAAAAACAUAAAAAUUUUAAAAAAAAUUAAUAUUAAGAAAACAAACAACGUUAAUAAUGAUAAAAUAUAAUAUAUCUAGCUCACUAAAUUAUUUUUAACUAUUUGAUCAAACUUAUUUUUUUAAUUUUUUUUUUAGUUUUUAAUAUCUCUUAAAAAUAAGCAUUAAAACAAAUUGUGAUUGUAUUUGAAAAUAAUAUUAUAUAAGUUAAAUAUAAUUAAUUGAUUUUUUUACAGUAAUUGGAAGAUAUUAUAGACAACUAAAUAUAUAUAAAAAAACACUUCAAUAAUACUAAUUAUAAACUAUUUUUAGUCAAUUAAACAUAAAUCAGUUUAUGUUGCCUAAUUAUAUUAUGUAAUCAUCUAAGAAAAUAAAUAGAUAUAUAAAAAUAUUUCUAUUACUUUGAAUUUUUUUGUAUUGUUUAAAAUUAUGUUUUAAAAUAAAUAUUAUUUCUUUUUCUAAUAUCAAGACUAUCUAUGUAAAUUGUUUUUAAUGAAAUUGCAUUAUAUACAAAUUUAUAUUUUUCAUCUUAGAAAAUAUAGAUAUAAAGAAAUUAUUUUAUUACUUUAAAAUUAUAUUUUAUGUUUUUUAAAAAUAUUUUUUAAAUGUAAUAUUACUAUUUUGUGAACUUUCCUUUUUUUAUGAAAUCAUAUUAUAUAUACAUAUAUUUUCGUUUUUCAUUUCAUUUUUUUUAAUUUAUUAAAAAUUUCCUUUUUUAUUAUAUGUAUAUGUUUUUGGAAAUUCUUUAAAAAUAAGCUAACCAAAAAAAUAAAUAAUAGUAUUUAAUAUUUUUAAUUCAUUAAGGGUAUGAAUGUAAUCAACCAUCGUGAGAGUUAAUGUGAGAAUGACAUAUAGGAAACAGACUUCUCAAAAAAUAUUAUAGAGAUCAACUCCACUAUUUUUGUUAUAGAUUACAAUUUAUAAAAUAUAGAAAAUCUGAUUAUGUUAUCUAUUUAAUAUUUUAUAAUAAAAAUAUAUUCGAUACACAAUAUAUAUAUAUAUAUAUAUAUGUAUAUCGACUUUCAUAGUAUCUAUACGAAUAUCCUUGGAAUAUCGUUUGACCUUCAAAAAUUCUUGCUGUAUACUAUUGUCAUAAAUAAGAAAAUUACCUAGCAAUAAAUAUGUAAAUUAUUAAUAUUGGAAGAACUGAAUCACCCAAAUAUUUUUAUACAAAUAGUUAAGUUUAUCGAAUAUUUUAUGUAAAACUAAAAAGUGAUAUUUACUUGUAUUAUUUGAGAUUAUCCCAAAAUCGGGACCCAAUCAAGAACCAAACUAAACUCAAGAUUUUAACGGGUUUCUAACAUUGUUAUUCGGAAUAAACCGAUAACCAAAAUAACCAAACCAAGAAAAACUCAAAUUUAUAAAUAACCAAAUAUUUCCUAUAUCUCUUGAACCAGAAAAACAAAAAUCAAAAACUGAAUAGAGUAUUAUCCCAAAAUCUCUAACUUUCAAACUGAAGCUUAAAAAACUUCAACUCUUCAAUAAGCCAUUUUAACCUUUGAAUAUUAUUUAGCCACAAGUAAAUCACUCGAUUUUAUUGGUCAAAACAAUCCAGACACAUGUUUAAUUGAACACUAAAACCUUAAUAACAAA
Molecule: long non-coding RNA, 4261 nt
Filed under: Brassica napus (rape)
Lineage: Eukaryota; Viridiplantae; Streptophyta; Magnoliopsida; Brassicales; Brassicaceae
Description: long non-coding RNA (BNAP_LNC000748)
Source: RNAcentral